CCUACGGGAGGCUGCAGUGAGGAAUAUUGGUCAAUGGCCGGAAGGCUGCACCAGCCAAGUCGCGUGAGGGACGACUGCCCUAUGGGUUGUAAACCUCUUUUAUAAGGGAAGAAUCCAUGCUACGUAUAGCAUGCUGCCUGUACCUUAUGAAUAAGCAUCGGCUAACUCCGUGCCAGCCGCCGCGGUACUACGGAGGAUGCGAGCGUUAUCCGGAUUUAUUGGGUUUAACGGGUGCGUAGGCGGUUUUUUAAGUUAGUGGUUAAACGUCGGGGCUUCACCUUGAUUUGCCAUUAAUACUGUAAGACGCGAGUUCAGACGAGGUAGGCGGAAUAAGUUAAGUAGCGGUGAAAUGCUUAGAUAUAACUUAGAACUCCGAUAGCGAAGGCAGCUUACCAGACUGCGACUGACGCUGAAGCACGAGAGCGUGGGUAGCGAACAGGAUUAGAUACCCUAGUAGUC
RNAcentral lists this ribosomal RNA (459 nucleotides) under uncultured bacterium. Its description in RNAcentral is "partial 16S ribosomal RNA". It matches the Rfam family "Bacterial small subunit ribosomal RNA", at positions 338 to 795 of the family's 1533-position model. The record is from RNAcentral.